RNAcentral lists this long non-coding RNA (357 nucleotides) under Daucus carota (carrot). Its description in RNAcentral is "long non-coding RNA (DCAR_LNC002970)". The record is from RNAcentral. Lineage: Eukaryota; Viridiplantae; Streptophyta; Magnoliopsida; Apiales; Apiaceae.
GCUUCACAGCUUUGUCUGUUUGCUGAGUUUCAUCACCAUGGUCCAUGUUCAAGUUCCCUACAAAAACACUGUUUUUGUGUCCCUCUGACAAAUUAUUAACUUUUGGUCUCUUCUCAUUGCUAUCCAAAGUCAUAUGGUUAUCACCGGCAACAUCAGCACCAGCUUUCUCGUAUAUUUCAGUGGUAGCACUACACUCCCUAGCCCAAAAGGCUUUGUUCUGUGUACUAGUAUUUUUGACUCUGCCAAAUUCAUCACUGCCACUUUCCGGUAACAAUGAUCCAUUUUUCUUUUGAUUAUCAAGAAGCCAGUUUCGACCACCAGUAGCUACUUGACAGACCUCAUGCAUAAUUUCUUUGG